AUUGAACGCUGGCGGCAUGCCUUACACAUGCAAGUCGAACGGUAACGGGCCUUCGGGUGCCGACGAGUGGCGCACGGGUGAGUAAUACAUCGGAACGUGCCCGAUCGUGGGGGAUAACGAGGCGAAAGCUUUGCUAAUACCGCAUACGAUCUACGGCUGAAAGCAGGGGACCGCAAGGCCUUGCGCGGACGGAGCGGCCGAUGGCAGAUUAGGUAGUUGGUGGGAUAAAAGCUUACCAAGCCGACGAUCUGUAGCUGGUCUGAGAGGAUGAUCAGCCACACUGGGACUGAGACACGGCCCAGACUCCUACGGGAGGCAGCAGUGGGGAAUUUUGGACAAUGGGCGCAAGCCUGAUCCAGCCAUGCCGCGUGCAGGAUGAAGGCCUUCGGGUUGUAAACUGCUUUUGUACGGAACGAAAAGCCUUCUUUUAAUACAGGAGGGUCAUGACGGUACCGUAAGAAUAAGCACCGGCUAACUACGUG
RNAcentral lists this ribosomal RNA (482 nucleotides) under uncultured bacterium. RNAcentral's name for it is "partial 16S ribosomal RNA". It matches the Rfam family "Bacterial small subunit ribosomal RNA", at positions 30 to 507 of the family's 1533-position model. The record is from RNAcentral.